Molecule: ribosomal RNA, 420 nt
Filed under: uncultured bacterium
Lineage: Bacteria
Description: bacterial SSU rRNA
Rfam family: Bacterial small subunit ribosomal RNA
Source: RNAcentral
GGAAUAUUGGUCAAUGGACGCAAGUCUGAACCAGCCAUGCCGCGUGCAGGAAUAAGGUCCUCUGGAUUGUAAACUGCUUUUAUACAGGAAUAAACCUCUCUACGUGUAGAGAGCUGAAGGUACUGUAGGAAUAAGCACCGGCUAACUCCGUGCCAGCAGCCGCGGUAAUACGGAGGGUGCAAGCGUUAUCCGGAAUUAUUGGGUUUAAAGGGUCCGCAGGCGGUCCCAUAAGUCAGAGGUGAAAGCCCACAGCUUAACUGUGGAAUUGCCUUUGAAACUGUGGGACUUGAAUUAAGUAGGCGUUGGCGGAAUAUGACAUGUAGCGGUGAAAUGCAUAGAUAUGUCAUGGAACACCGAAAGCGAAGGCAGCUAACGAUGCUUAUAUUGACGCUCAGGGACGAAAGCGUGGGUAGCGAACAG